GAUGAACGCUGGCGGCGUGCCUAAUACAUGCAAGUCGAGCGAACAGACGAGGAGCUUGCUCCUCUGACGUUAGCGGCGGACGGGUGAGUAACACGUGGAUAACCUACCUAUAAGACUGGGAUAACUUCGGGAAACCGGAGCUAAUACCGGAUAAUAUAUUGAACCGCAUGGUUCAAUAGUGAAAGACGGUUUUGCUGUCAUUUAAAGAUGGAUCGCGGCCUAAUUAGCUAGAUGGUAAGGAAACGGCUUACCAAGGCAACGAAGCGUACCCGACCUGAGAGGGUGAUCGGCCACACUGGAACUGAGACACGGCCCGGACUCCUACGGGAGGCAGCAGUAGGGAAUCUUCCGCAAUGGGCGAAAGCUUGACGGAGCAACGCGCGGUAGGUGAUGAGGGUCUUCGAAUCUAAAAACUCUGUUAUUAGGGAAGAAGAAUUGUGUAAUUAACUAUGCACGUCUUGACGGUACCUAAUCAGAAAGCCACGGCUAACUACGUG
This 497-nucleotide ribosomal RNA is filed under the name uncultured bacterium. RNAcentral's name for it is "partial 16S ribosomal RNA". It matches the Rfam family "Bacterial small subunit ribosomal RNA", at positions 28 to 507 of the family's 1533-position model. The record is from RNAcentral.